AAUGGAGACACACAUUGACUUUGAGAGACUAUUAGAAGAAUUAGGAUCAGAAGCAACCAAUCUUCCUGAUAUAUCACAAGGUAUACAGUCACGUGACACUACUCACUGAUCACGUGAUCACAGGUUGGUCUGAUGGUUUGAGACGAGCAAUAGAUCAUCAAGCAAUGAGUCUGUCUCAGUCUCCAGAGACGUUUGGUACAUGGCUACUGAUUAAUAAACUAAAGGAAACAAA
Molecule: long non-coding RNA, 232 nt
Organism: Amphimedon queenslandica
Lineage: Eukaryota; Metazoa; Porifera; Demospongiae; Haplosclerida; Niphatidae
Exons: 2
Source: RefSeq, a predicted model, not a curated record